AGCAUUAUGGCAUAAUGGUGAGGCGGCUUGGGCAAGUUGCAUUAUUUCUGGUUCGAUUCCAGCUAAUGUUA
This 71-nucleotide transfer RNA is filed under the name Armillaria ostoyae. It matches the Rfam family "tRNA". From Rfam's summary of the family: Transfer RNA (tRNA) molecules are approximately 80 nucleotides in length. Lineage: Eukaryota; Fungi; Basidiomycota; Agaricomycetes; Agaricales; Physalacriaceae. The record is from RNAcentral.